Molecule: RNA transcript, 2648 nt
Organism: Juglans regia (Persian walnut)
Lineage: Eukaryota; Viridiplantae; Streptophyta; Magnoliopsida; Fagales; Juglandaceae
Exons: 12
Source: RefSeq, a predicted model, not a curated record
AUCGUCUCCAUCUCUAUAUUUCCCAUGCUAAAAGGCAAUGAAACAAAAGAUCGUCCCUCUGUUUCAUCGUAAACAUAUCUCCAUGCAAUAAUCUUCCAUCCCCUACGAAGAACAUAAUCUACAACAACACAGUUCAAGCAGUGCAAUUAAUGCCGAUCCAAUCAUCAAUCCCACGAUCUUCUUCUGAUCCAUCCCUCUCCACAACAAUCUGCUCUCACUCUGGCUUGCCUAGUAAUUCCAACCACUCACCAUCUUCAACUCCUCCAUCAAAGUCAAAAUACUCUCUGCGCUCCCCACUACUAGAAAGGAUUAUUAAUGGCAUUAAAAGCCAAUCCUUGGUGGCCUCCAGGCGUUCGUAUUUGAAAGAGAAGGAUCUUGAGGUUCACAACAGAAGAAUUGCCGCCAUUAAUGUCGACGACGCUUACUCCAAUUCCACUCCAUAUUACAAAGGAGUGUAUUAUGAUUCUCUAAUUACCAAAACGCCAAAAUUGACUUCUGGAAUCAGUUCUGGACGCAAAAGUGACUCAGACAGUGUUGCUACCUCUACCUCUAGCUCUCUCUCCACCUUCAUCUUUAGAAUUCGAGAUCUGAGUUCUAAUUGCUUUAGUGUUAAAAUUAAGAGAGAUGAGACCAGCAAGCCUGCAACCUAUGCCACGAUGAAAUCUGCAGGUCGCACUCCUUUCUUCCCUUCUUCAUCACCAUCAGCAUCGUCACCUAGGGCGACUGUGACGGUGUUGAAGGAGAAGAGUACGAUUGCUGAAGAAAGGAAGGAGACGACCGUCGGCGAUGUCCAUGCUUUGUUAGCUAAGGAGAAGCCAUUGAGGGAGAGAGUAGCAGAACCCGCAGCCGUAACAACUGUAGUAAUGCAGCCAUCCAAAGCCAAUCCAAUGGCAAACAAGUACUCUCCUUUCUUGACUCAGACACCAUCAGCAUCGGCAGCACCAAGGACAAAGACGAGGGUUUUGAAGGAGAUGAGUGAAGGAAGGAACGAAAUCAUCGGUAAAGGCGAUGCUAAUGAUUUGUUAGUUGAAAAGAAGCUCUUGAGAGAGAGUGCGGAAAAACCCGCACCCAAAAUACCAACCGGCCUAGUAUUGCAGCCAUCCAAAUCAAAAGACCGAAUCAUAAAUGAGAAAGAUGGCAACAAAAAGAUGAGGAAUAACCGCGAGUUUGUAUGGGCAAACAAGUACCAACCCAAGGCCUUGGACGACUUCAUUUGCAAUCGAGAAAAAGCCAUGGAGCUACUAGCUUUGAUCAGAGAGGGAGGAUGUGGCCAUAUUAUAUUUGAGGGGCCACCGGGCGUGGGGAAGAGAACCAUGAUAUGGGCUAUGCUUCGAGAGGCUUUUGGACCUGACAGAGUACAGGUGAGGGACGAAUGCAAGGCAUUUAACUUGAAGGGUGAAAUGUUGGGUAAGAUCCAAGUAAAUGUAAAGCAAUCUCCCCGGCACAUUGAAGUCAAUCUCUCUGAACUAAAGGGCUAUGAGAAGCAUGUCGUUGUUGAACUUAUCAAGGAAACACAAAAUAUGAUUUCUAUCAAAGGUUUGCCUUGUGACUCUGACAAUUGCCGAGCAAUUAUUUUAUACGAGGCAGAAAAGCUAUCUACAGAUGCCCUACUAUACAUAAAGUGGCUAUUGGAACGGUAUAAAGGAUGUAAUAAGGUUUUCUUCUGUUGCUCUGAUCUCUCAAAACUUCAACCCAUCAAAACAAUUUGCACAGUUGUUCAGCUGGUACCACCUUCACGUAAAGAGAUUGUUGAAGUUUUGGAGUUCAUAGCUAAACAAGAAGGCAUAGAAUUGCCACAUCGAUUGGCUGAAAAAUUUGCAGAGAAGUCGAAAAAUAAUCUUCGUCAAGCCAUUCGAUCAUUUGAGGCCUCUUGGUUGGUCAAUUAUCCCUUUCAAGAAGAUCUAGAAAUUUUGACUGGAUGGGAAGAUGACAUUGCAAAUAUUGCUAAGAAUAUAGUAGAAGAGCAAAGUCCAAAACAGUUAUAUAUGAUUCGUGGGAUGCUUCAAAAUCUCAUAGAGCAUGAUGUAUCCCCCGACUCUAUGUUCAAGUUUCUGGUAAAAGAGCUAAAGAAGCAUGCACAAGAGGAAUUAAAACAACAAAUUGAUAAACUGUAUGAGGAAUACAGUAGGGUUGAUGAAAAUUUAUUUGAAAGUCAGAAAUUGGCCUUUGCAAACAAUAAAUCCGAGGAAACUGGCAAAGGAGCUCAUGAACCAAUGAGAAGGAAUAUUGUUCAACAAUUUCUGAGGAUCGAAGAGUUUAUAGCAAGAUUCAUGAGCUGCUAUAAGUCAUCAAUCACAACAAACAAAAGUGUGCAACAUUGAAGUGGGACUUCUUGCUUACCCUUAGCUCAGUCAAAUUAUCUUAUGUGGAUAAUAUGAAUAAAUGGCUGCUUAAUUUCAUGUUUAGAGCAAGCUUGAGACAAGGACUUUGAAAAAUAAGGAAUCUUCCAUAUAGUUAUUUGUUUUAAGCAUCUUUCCUGUAAAUGUAUAUUCAAAACCAAAUAAUCCAAUCAUGAAAUUGGAUAUACUCUGCAUAAUUAUAAGUUGGCAAGAGGCCUAUGUAAUGGAUUUAGAAACUGCGAUGGGCAUAUUAACCAAAAACAUCAUCACAGCACUCUCAAUGUACUACUGUUCAAUAUGGCGUUAUAG